This 440-nucleotide long non-coding RNA is filed under the name Homo sapiens (human). Its description in RNAcentral is "HSALNT0370057". The record is from RNAcentral. Lineage: Eukaryota; Metazoa; Chordata; Mammalia; Primates; Hominidae.
GUAGACUUUCCAUCCCUCUUCUCUGACAUCUUUGAGUUGUGACUCCUUUCCUCAAGGCUGCCUCAUACAUAUAAAGUGGCUACUAGAACUCCAAACGGCAUUUUCUCAUUCCUAGUAGGAAGAAGGGAAAACACAAGGAACAAAAGGAGCAUGCCAGCUGAGUCAUUGCCUAUUUUUAAGGAGCAUUACCAGAAGACACACCCAACAACUUAUGUUUGCAUCUCAUUGGCUAGGAUUUAGUCUUAUGCACCUCUCAUCUUCUAGGAAUCCUGGGAAAUCUAGUAUAUUUUAGGAAAAGAAGAUUUGGUGUCUACACUGCUAGUACUCCAGUUCAGCUUUCGCUGACCAUGACUCUAUUUGGCUAACUGCACAGAUCACAAUCAUACAUUUUGGACAAAAUGUCUUUGGAGAAGCCGCAUUGAAGAUAUUGCAACUGGAAG